AGCUUUCGGAGCUCGGCGUACCGCUCAGUAACACGUGGGUAACCUAACCUAUGCAGGGGAAUAACCUCGGGAAACUGAGUAUAAUGCCCCAUAGUCCACUACGCCUGGAACGGUGAGUGGAUCAAAGCUCAGGCGGCAUAGGAUGGGCCUGCGGCGUAUCAGGUUGUAGGGGGUGUAAAGUACCCUCUAGCCCUCUACGCGUACGGGUGUUGGGAGACAUAGCCCGGAGAUGGAUUCUGAGACACGAAUCCAGACCCUACGGGGUGCAGCAGGCGCGAAAACUUGACAAUGCGAGCAAUCGUGAUCAGGGAACUCCAAGUGGCUGGGGUAAGACCCAGUCUUUUCAUAACUCUUCAAAGGUUGUAGAAUAAGGGGUGGGUAAGGACGGUGCCAGCCGCCGCGGUAAUACCGGCGCCUCAAGUGGUAGUCGCUUUUAUUGGGCCUAAAACGUCCGUAGCCGGUUUGAUACAUUCGUGGGUAAAUCAACCAGCUCAACUGGUUGAAUUCUGCGAGGACGGUCAGACUUGGGACCGGGAGAAGUGUGGGGUACGCUCAGGGUAGGGGUAAAAUCCUGUCAUCCUGAGCGGACCACCUGUUGCGAAGGCGCCACACUAGAACGGAUCCGACGGUCAGGGACGAAGCCUAGGGGCACGAACCGGAUUAGAUACCCGGGUAGUCCUAGGUGUAAACGCUGUGGACUUGACGUUGGAGAAGCUCCGAGCUUCUUCAGUGUCGAAGCGAAGGUGAUAAGUCCACUGCCUGGGAAGUACGGUCGCAAGG
This 780-nucleotide ribosomal RNA is filed under the name uncultured archaeon. RNAcentral describes it as "bacterial SSU rRNA". It matches the Rfam family "Archaeal small subunit ribosomal RNA", at positions 63 to 848 of the family's 1478-position model. The record is from RNAcentral.